Long non-coding RNA from Schistocerca serialis cubense, 690 nucleotides. RefSeq lists it as uncharacterized. Lineage: Eukaryota; Metazoa; Arthropoda; Insecta; Orthoptera; Acrididae. The record is from RefSeq and is a predicted model, not a curated record. The transcript has 3 exons.
ACUGGAAAAGUUGCCACAGCGUCUUUACAUCGUCUUUGUCAGAAGUGAGGUUAGUUUCUAUGUUUGUAAAUGAAUCUGGGGGCAUCGUUUGUGCAAAGUGUGAAACCUCCCCCCACUCAAGUGCUUCCAUUACCAGAGGCGCGACUACUGGAUGCUCUAUGUACCCAUCCACAUUUAGAAGAGAUAGUCAUGAAGAUUCAAAAUGACUCUUGAAGAAUUCGCACGCCUGAAGAGUGGUGCACUAAGCUACUAAGAGCCCUUCGAAGAAGAACAAGAAGAAGAAUCAGAAGAAGAAGAAGUAGAAGAACAUGAAAAAAAGAGGUUCACAGGAAGAAGUACAAAAUUCAGCAAGAUGGCACAUAGCUUGAAUGUUAAAGGCUACUCGCAACUCCUAGUUACGGCUCAAAUUGCAGCCAGAUUGUAUAAAGUUGUUAUUGUGACAUGUCUAACUUCUCAGUCACUGUGAUUUAUAAUAGAUACACAAUUUCUUGCCCACCGCCAAUAAAUAUUUAAUUGGUAGCUGAAUCUAACUGUUCAUGUAUAUCACUAACAAAUACCAAGAGACUAAGUGUGUUAUCUCUGUGUAUUUAUUUUAAAUUUUUUGUACUCUCUGUGGAUUCAUUUUUAAGUGCUCUUACUACAUCUCCGAAUAGUGGCAGUGAGGAUUUUCCUCGGUCGAAUGACCAUACG